GGAUAUUAUUCUGGCCUUGGUCUGAUUUGAACCUGUGAUAGCAUGUUGGCACACCCUGUAGCAGUCGCGCUUACCCAGGCUCAUAACCUAUUAGGCCACUAGGGCAAAAGAGCUCAAUCACCACCAGCACCAUGGUGGUAUAGAGGGUACGAUCCAAUCCCCCCAACAGGUAAAGCCAGGCAAGUAAACCUUACCACAAGGAGCUAUCAAAUCGAGUUAUCUAUCACAUGACUAAGCGCGCAAGAGCUCCCCAGCAAGUGGAUGUGGCGAUCACCGAUCUUCCCACGGUGCUGGGGCGAUGGGAUGCGAUUGUUCCUAUAAAUAGGACUCUCGGUCCUUUCCCUUUUUCAUUCCCACCUGACAUCAGCACUUAAAUACACAAACUGACUAGUAGAAUAAAAAUUUCAUUACAAGAUAUACUAGCUAUAGAAAAUAGUUUAGAGUGAUUGGGAAUUUUUUCACUAUUCUAUGUUUCAGUCAAUCAUUGAAUUGAGUAUCAUGAGAAUCUGGAGUGGGGGCCAGGAACAAGCAAGUUGAAUCACACAGCAAAGCUGCUGACUGCUACCCUGUAUAUUUUUCAAUAAGGAAUCCGCUGUUUUCUGUGCCAUGCGAUUGAUACAGUGUAUAUCUGUGAGAACGGUUUUUCCACAGAUUUGGUACAUAUCCAAGGAAUAGGGAUUGUUUAGAGAAUGAGGUUGUCGAUUGUGAUGUGAUUCAUACAAGUAGUUACUAGUAUUUCCAACUAAUAUUAAUAGCUAUCAAACAGGAG
RNAcentral lists this small RNA (769 nucleotides) under Histoplasma ohiense. RNAcentral's name for it is "hypothetical lncRNA". The record is from RNAcentral. Lineage: Eukaryota; Fungi; Ascomycota; Eurotiomycetes; Onygenales; Ajellomycetaceae.